UUCAAUAAUUUCGAUUUUUGCUUUGUCUACCUCUAUACCUCUGUCGGAGACCAAGUGUCCUAGGACAAUUCCUUCUCUUACCAUGAAGUGACAUUUCUCCCAAUUUAAGACUAGGUUCACCUGUUCACAUCUUUCCAAAACUUUUUCAAGGUUAGUCAAACAAUCAUCAAAACUAGAUCCAUGCACAGAAAAAUCAUCCAUAAAGACUUCCAUUAUCUUUUCAACAAAGUCAGAAAAAAUAGACAUCAUGCAUCUUUGAAAAGUAGCAGGGGCAUUACAN
RNAcentral lists this long non-coding RNA (280 nucleotides) under Medicago truncatula (barrel medic). RNAcentral describes it as "long non-coding RNA (MTRU_LNC007672)". The record is from RNAcentral. Lineage: Eukaryota; Viridiplantae; Streptophyta; Magnoliopsida; Fabales; Fabaceae.